AACGAACGCUGGCGGCAGGCUUAACACAUGCAAGUCGAACGCGUGUAGCAAUACACGAGUGGCGCACGGGUGAGUAACGCGUGGAUAUCUGCCUUUUGGUUCGGAAUAACCCCGGGAAACUGGGGCUAAUACCGGAUGGUUCCUUCGGGAUAAAGAUUUAUCGCCAAAAGAUGAGUCCGCGUACGAUUAGCUAGUUGGUGAGGUAAUGGCUCACCAAGGCGACGAUCGUUAGCUGGUCUGAGAGGACGAUCAGCCACACUGGGACUGAGACACGGCCCAGACUCCUACGGGAGGCAGCAGUGGGGAAUAUUGGACAAUGGGGGCAACCCUGAUCCAGCCAUGCCGCGUGAGUGAUGAAGGCCUUCGGGUUGUAAAGCUCUUUUGGCGGGGACGAUGAUGACGGU
RNAcentral lists this ribosomal RNA (404 nucleotides) under alpha proteobacterium Ellin6204. RNAcentral's name for it is "bacterial SSU rRNA". It matches the Rfam family "Bacterial small subunit ribosomal RNA", at positions 29 to 458 of the family's 1533-position model. Lineage: Bacteria; Pseudomonadati; Pseudomonadota; Alphaproteobacteria. The record is from RNAcentral.